AUGAGGAGCAAAGGUAUGUAACACAUAUGAUGUAUUUAGCUAGUGAAACCACUACCAGUCUUAAAUGUAUAACUGAUGAUGACAAAGUUUUUUCUCUGCAUAAUCAUAGGAACCCAGGCAGUAGCAUCGUUUCACAAUGUUUCCAUCACCAUCAUCAGUGGAUGCCUUUGCCGUCCGUAGCCUGAGAUUUCAGAUUUGCAGCAAAAAAUGUGACUUUCCCAUUUAUUGGAAUGCUGUGCAGCCAUCCAUUACAAUGUCACCAAGCCGUAACAAAAGCAGGAGAGGGAAAGUACAAGGCUAUGUUCCCAAAACACACAAGUGACAUACUUUAUGUGGAUGAUGUGAUCAGGCUUGUGUUUGCUGAGGUAUUUGAAGAUAAGCUGAAGGAAACCCCGAUUCCAAUGGACCUGGCAUCACAGUUUGAGAGACCUUCGAAGGAGGACGUGAUUGCAUGCCAUCUUCAGUGCAGGGGUCGUCGGAAGCCAACAUUCUGAUCAGGAAGCUACAAGCAUAUCUGGAGAACAACACACGACAGGAUGAUAACCCUAAAGUGUCAUCUUAGAUAGCACCAGCUGACAAAGCUUUGAUAUGCCAUUUAUCUGAAUAGAUAGCUGUAAGAAGUGAAUUGAACAAUUUUUGAAAGAC
Paramisgurnus dabryanus is the source of this 645-nucleotide non-coding RNA. The record is from RefSeq and is a predicted model, not a curated record. Lineage: Eukaryota; Metazoa; Chordata; Actinopteri; Cypriniformes; Cobitidae.